GUAGCCCCUGCAACAAGAGAAGCUACUGUAAUGAGAAGCCUGCACAGAGAGAGUAGCGUCCACUCACCACGACUAGAGAAAAGCCUGCAUGCAGCAGGGAAGACCCAGCACAGCUUAAAAUAGUUACUUUUUGUGCUUUCCUCCAGGGAACCAUGAAAGGCAUCCUCAGACCCACCGCACUUGAACAAUGCAGAGCCCCUGCUAGGGUUGCCUUGGCCGCACCUGGCUGGUAUGGAGUCUUCAGCUGUUCCAAGUCAUGCUCAAGGACUGAACGAUUCAUCUCCAGGCACAGCUGUACACGAUUCGGAGCACAGGGAUGCCAAGGCACACAGGUGUGGGACAUUAGCCCAAGCUCUGUGACCAGCCUCAUAUUCCUGUUUUGGAUCAACCACCCAGAUGCCAGUGCACUAGUGUAACAGGGGAGGGGUGUCCUAACAAGGAGAGGAAGUCCAGUGUCUUUGGCCCAGUGGACCCCCAUCUUGGGACCUGCCCACAGUUGAGGUAAACUUGCCUUUUCUAGGAGAUCUUUGUCCUUGAAACCCUGUACUCAGUGAUGAAUGUUGUCAUUAAAAGUCCACAGCCGAGCAGAAGCCCUCCUGGAUUCUGAGUUAUUGAGUCUUUCUGCCUCUGUGAGAUGCUUCCUGGUUAGGUGGCUCUAGGUGACCUUGUGAAC
RNAcentral lists this long non-coding RNA (673 nucleotides) under Capra hircus (goat). RNAcentral describes it as "lncRNA (ENSCHIG00000007397.1)". The record is from RNAcentral. Lineage: Eukaryota; Metazoa; Chordata; Mammalia; Artiodactyla; Bovidae.